Molecule: unclassified non-coding RNA, 1034 nt
Filed under: Hevea brasiliensis (rubber tree)
Lineage: Eukaryota; Viridiplantae; Streptophyta; Magnoliopsida; Malpighiales; Euphorbiaceae
Source: RNAcentral
GAGAUUUUGAUCUCUCCCAAUUUCUGAUGCAAUUUCUCACCGAUUUCCAUGGAUUCUAAGCCUCCUCAGCCUGCAGCUUCUAAUCCUCCACCAAAACCUUGGGAACGAGUAGGGGGAUCGUCGGGUUCGGCACCUUUUAGACCACCAUCAGCUGGCAAUACAAGUGAUGUAGUAGAGGCUUCUGGGACUGCAAAACCUGGAGAAAUUGUUUCUAGCUCUGAUAGGACUGCUGCUAUUAAUAGGAACUCACUUGGCCGGCCUGUUCCAACAAGGCCUUGGGAGCAAAACUAUGGGAAUAACAGCUAUGGAGGAGCUUAUGGUUCAACUAUGAAUAAUUCUCUUUACGGUUCUGGGAUGUAUGGUUCUUCUUCUUAUGGUGGAGGAUUGUAUGGGGGUGGAAUGUAUGGGAACAGCAUGUAUAGACCAGGAGGGUACGGUGGGCUUUAUGGAUCUUCUGGUAUGUAUGGAAAUAGUGGUAUGUAUGGAAGUGGAAUGUAUAAUAGUGGCCUUGGAGGUCCAAUGGGCGGCUAUGGAAUGGGCAUGGGCGGUCCUUAUGGUGGUCAAGAUCCAAAUGACCCUUAUGGUCCUCCCUCAUCUCCUCCAGGAUUUUGGAUGUCAUUUCUGCAAGUGAUGCAUGGUGUUGUGAACUUCUUUGGUCGAAUAUCUAUUCUUAUUGACCAAAACACACAGGCGUUCCAUAUGUUCAUGACUGCACUACUUCAGCUUUUUGACCGCUCCGGUAUGUUAUAUGGAGAGCUUGCUAGAUUUGUCUUGAGGAUACUUGGAAUUAAAACCAAACCUAGGAAGGUUCAAAAUGUAGGCCCUGAUGGGCUUCCUCUUCCUGGAGCCCCCCAUCCCCAUCAAGGCCAGAACUUGAUCGAGGGACCGAAGGCCGCUCCUGAUGGUACUUGGGAUAAUGUUUGGCCGAAUGGUUCCCAGUAGAUGAACAAAUGUACUUAAUAUUUGAAGGUAUACUCAAAACAAGAAGGAUACUGGAAGAUAUUGAUAGGACAGAACUGAGAUGUGAUUCCAAG